UGUCACGCGUUGCUCUGAGGCGCGGUAAGUGGUAGGGACCGGGCGUUGGACGGAAUCCUGGGGCGUAGAGAGCGGUGAGGCGGCCGUGCAAGGUCCGGGUGAAAGCUCACGGCUCAACCGUGGGCAGCCGUGGAAAACUGGUCGGGUAGGGUGCGGGAGAGGGGAGUGGAAUUCCUGGGGUAGCGGUGAAAUGCGCAGAUAUCAGGAAGAACACCCGUGGCGAAGGCGGCUCUCUGGAACGCAACUGACGCUGAGACGCGAAAGCGUGGGGAGCAAACAGGAUUAGAUACCCGAGUAGUC
This 300-nucleotide ribosomal RNA is filed under the name uncultured Bacillus sp. Its description in RNAcentral is "bacterial SSU rRNA". The stretch from base 52 to 300 matches the Rfam family "Bacterial small subunit ribosomal RNA", at positions 547 to 795 of the family's 1533-position model. Lineage: Bacteria; Bacillati; Bacillota; Bacilli; Caryophanales; Bacillaceae. The record is from RNAcentral.